UACAGAGGGUGCGAGCGUUGUUCGGAAUUAUUGGGCGUAAAGGGCGCGUAGGCGGUGCGGUAAGUCACCUGUGAAAUCUCCUGGCUCAACUGGGAGCUUGCAGGCGAAACUGCCGUGCUGGAGUGUGGGAGAGGUGCGUGGAAUUCCUGGUGUAGCGGUGAAAUGCGUAGAUAUCAGGAGGAACACCUGUGGCGAAAGCGGCGCACUGGACCACAACUGACGCUGAGGCGCGAAAGCAUGGGUAGCGAACAGG
This 253-nucleotide ribosomal RNA is filed under the name uncultured bacterium. RNAcentral describes it as "partial 16S ribosomal RNA". It matches the Rfam family "Bacterial small subunit ribosomal RNA", at positions 524 to 776 of the family's 1533-position model. The record is from RNAcentral.